AUUGAACGCUGGCGGCAUGCCUAACACAUGCAAGUCGAACGGCAGCACAAUAAAGAUUUCGGUCUUUAUGGGUGGCGAGUGGCGGGCGGGUGAGUAACGCGUAGGAAUCUGUCCUGGAGAGUGGGAUAACCCGAGGAAACUCGGGCUAAUACUGCAUGACAUUGAGAGAUCAAAAGCAGGGGACCGAAAGGCCUUGCGCUCUGGGGUGAGCCUACGUCGGAUUAGCUAGUUGGUGGGGUAAAGGCCUGCCAAGCCGACGAUCCGUAGCUGGUCGGAGCGGAUGACCAGCCCCACUGGGACUGAGACACGGCCCAGACUCCUACGGGAGGCAGCAGUGGGGAAGCUUGGACAAGUGGAGACACCCUGGUCCAGCGAUGCCGCGUGUGUGAAGAAGGCCUUCGGGUUGUAGAGCACUUUAGGUGGGGAAGAAAGGUAGCGAGUGAAAAACUUUCUGCUGUGACGGUACCCACUGAAUAAGCACCGGCUAACUCUGUGCCAGCAGCCGCCGUAA
Molecule: ribosomal RNA, 511 nt
Filed under: uncultured bacterium
Lineage: Bacteria
Description: partial 16S ribosomal RNA
Rfam family: Bacterial small subunit ribosomal RNA
Source: RNAcentral